UUGAAUGUUCUCGUUGAUCAAAUCCUCCAGUUCGCGUAGGUUCAUCAACAAAAAUGCCUUUGUCAAAUGUUCUCUUUCGUUUCCCUCAGCGUUCUGGCAGUCGGUGACUCUUUUUCUCAUUUUUCCUUCCAAUUCCAACAGGCUGUAUUCCAGAUAUUUCAACUUUUCGCUAGAUUUGGUGGCCCUCUUUUUUCAUUCAUUGAUUUUGUCAUCUAAUGGAAGAUUUCUCCACCAGUCUAGCAAGAGUGAGGGUGUGCUAACCAUACCGAAGUUGGGGACCUCGUUCCUCAUUUUCUGCAAAACAAAAAGGUUAGGUCUUACCCCCACCAGACUCAACUAUUUAGACAUUUAUGAUCUACAUAUCGACAUUUAGUUCUCCAAAUUAAUGCACAGAAUAUGAUUGUGCCCGUUGGGAUUACGGAAAACUCGAUGGACUUUGGAUAAGACUUAUCUUAAAGGAUCAUUAUGUGGACAACAUAAAUAAUCCGACUAGGUUUGACCAUGAUGCAUGCACAAUUUAACAAGAGUAAGGUUUCUAUGGGGNNNNNNNNNNNNNNNNNNNNNNNNNNNNNNNNNNNNNNNNNNNNNNNNNNNNNNNNNNNNNNNNNNNNNNNNNNNNNNNNNNNNNNNNNNNNNNNNNNNNNNNNNNNNNNNNNNNNNNNNNNNNNNNNNNNNNNNNNNNNNNNNNNNNNNNNNNNNNNNNNNNNNNNNNNNNNNNNNNNCUCGGCCGAACUUAAACUAUGUAGGAUUAUUCAAUUAAAUUAGGUUGUAGGUUGCUAAGUUGUGAAUUAAUCCUAAGUGGUCAAGUAUAUACAUCAAUUAAAAGCAAUUAGUUAAAACUAGUCAUGGAAAAAAUAUAAGAAUUGCAAAUCGUAGAAAGCCUACUUAGUUACAUAAAAGGGGACCUAAAUUUUUAAGCCUAAUGGAUCAACUCCCGUGCAAAGUCUGCUAAGACUUUUAUAGCCAAAAGUGCAAUGGCUAUUCGGGCAAUUUAUAUAUCAUGUCCUCUACCCUCAUUACUAUCUUUAAGUUGUUAACUUAAGAGCGCACUAAUUUUUUCUAAACCGCGUCUUAAUAGGUCUACUCGUCCCUUCCUAUAGUCCAGGAGGCUUUGGACACUAUUCUAAAGGGAUGGUUCUAGACUUAAAGAAAAUCUCAAGUUUCUAUUUCUAUUCUUAUUAGCGUCACAUAAAAGGGAGCACGUUAGGACUUAAACAAAUAACACAUAAGGCAAGUAAGGGCUCAUGUUGGCCUCUGAAUUAAGCAAUUAGUUAAGGAGUUCUCCAAUAAAAAAGAUGGUUCCGUAAUUUAAUACUGAGGUAUUAAAUAAAGUAAUAUAAAAUAAAAGAGGUAAGUUGAGUAAGGGUCCAAUCGCCGGAAGUGAUUUGAAGCAUAAAAUUGAGAGCAAGCUGGAAUGUUGGAUUUGAAAUAAGCACAAGUUCCAUUUCUGAUUCCGCAAAAUGAAGACUAGCUUAUAUACCAAUGUAGUAAAUGUCUAUGAGAUUAUCUUCUGGUGAAUGCCUAAGCUUAAAUAACUAGGAAUAAUCAAGAGGGUGGACCAAAAUAUUAUAAAAAUAUUCUUAGAUUUUAAAAUCAAAUAAACCCAAAUGCUUAUAGACAUGGGUAUCGAAAUUCUGUACACUGUGAAUGAUUACGAGCUCAAGUUAUUACAUAAAAAACGGAAAAUGGUCAAAACUACUGAUUUGCUAAAUGGUUUAUAAAUACCCUUCGUCCAUCUAUCAGUCCAAAAAAGCACACAACGUUAAUUUUAUUAAUAAAAUUACUCUCGCGUCUAACGGCAAAACAAACAAGCCUUUCAUAUAAUGAGGUGCCAUUUUUUUACUGGGACACGUGGCCUUUUCGGGAAAAAAUCAAACAUGGCUCUUACUUCAACGAUCCGACUUUACCCGGGUCAAAAACUUUACGUUAACCCAUCCUUUUGAACCCAAUUUGCUUCAACAAAGCGUCACCUAAUUUCAUGUUCUCUUGUCGAAUUGCUCCUGCACAUGCCAUUAAUGUUGGCCAAGUUGACUGAGACGCUCGCGUGGAAAUUGACUCGCUCUCAAAACUACCCCACAUACCACCACUCACCAAGAUUCGUGAGGAGGACGACAAUAACUCUGUUGUGGUUGUGGGUUUUAAUCUCUUGCUCUGUGGUUGUUACACCGGCGACGCAUGUAGUAAUCUAGUUGGAUUUUCAAUUUUGGGAAAAAUGGUUUUACUUGGGAUAAUAGUUAGAUUUGUUCUUUGAUGAAUAUUAGUUGUGAAAGAGGAAGAUUAAUUGGUAAAAGGUUCUUGUGGGUUGAGUUUAGAAUCAUAGAUUCGAGCCAAAGAUGAGAGAAGCAAGAAAUGAAAGAUUAUCUUGUUGAACACUACCCAUAACUUCCUCAAGCUGUUCAACUUUCUGAGCAACUUCAGCCAUGUCUGAUGCCUUCACUUUGUAACCCAAAAUAGCAAGCAUCUCAUCAUCAACUCAUGCAUCUUGCUCUGCUUCCUCCCACAUCUUUCUUUCCAGGUGUCCACCCGUGGCGGAGGUACAACCACCGGAAAAUGAUUUUUCCAGUUGUUGAUACGACACCGUUUGAUUAAUGUAAAUGUCUGAUGCCAUAAAAAAGGAUGGGUUAAUGUUAAUAUUUUGACCCAGGUAACAAACCCAAGAUACGUUAAUGGGUUAGAAAUAAGACCCAUGUUUGAUUUUCUGCCGAAAAUGCCAUGUCCAGUGAAAACAUACCAUCUCCUUAAAUGAAAGGCCCAUAUGUUCUGCCGCUGGACGCGAGGAUAAUUUUAUUAAUAAAAUUAACGUCAUGUAUUUUUAUGAACUAAUAGAUGGACGGAAGGUAUUUAUAAACCUUAACGAACCAUGGGGAUAGUUUUGACCCUUUUCGGUAUAAAAAUUGCUAGGACUGAUUAGCAAGUACAUAUAAAAAAGAACUUAUUUAAUAAUCACUUUAUAAAGUAAUGUCACAUAAUAAAUUCAUGCUAUUGGAUCAAAUGAGAAAUUCUAAGACAAGCAAGAAAAAUAAAGUAAACAAUUAAGCACAUAAUAGUCUCAUCCCAGCAAACCCAUUAACUAUAACGACGUCAUUACAAAGUCAUCAUAAAAACUGACUAUAAAGUUUAGGCACAAAUGAGCUUCAAACAAAUCCUCUCGGAACUUUUCCAAAUCCUAGGCAACUCCUCAACUCGUCUAAAUAUUCCUGUCAGUUCAAGCAUUCAAGUUAUACACCAAACAUGCAUGGAUAUGGAGUAUUCUUUUUUAACCACGAAAUAGACUUGCACACAUUAAAACUAAUACUUCCUAAAAGCAUACUCUCUAAUGGCGGAUUCAGGUCAUUUGCAACUUCAAACACAUAAGAACACACCGAGACACAGAACAUGGGCAGAUCUUCAACACGAUAAUUGUUUUUUUUAAGCAAUCGUUAAUAAUUAAACUACUUCCGAACAUAUGCUCUCUAUAAUGUUAAAUUCGCUGACACUCCGGACAGAACAUGGAUAUGGCAUGGACUUUUAGAAGUUAUCAGAUUUAUAAGAAAAACAAAAAUCCUUUUCCUGAAGACAUGAUCUCAAGCAAUUAAUUAAAGUUCCUUAAUUAUUCCACCAAACAAAGGAUAAUAAUAACAUGAAUUCAAACAUUGCCGAUUAUCGAUUGCAAGUUAUCUAAAAUAAUGGUUUUAUACACAUGAUAUCUGAAGAUAAAUACUCCUGGACAGUUAAACAUCCUAUUGACAUGGCAUCUAUAUGGCACGUAUUCAAACAUAUUCAGACGCAGUAGAUAGUGCAUAUACAGUGAUUAAGAGACGUACCUGGGCUUUUAACUUGGUAUGCAUUUCAAAGGAAUGCCGCACGGCACAUAACCAAGAACGAACAAAACGCAAAGGAAAGCAAAGAGAGACAAAAACUAAAGAAGACAACUAGUCUAUUCUAACAAACAACUAGCACGCCAAGGGAUAGUAAUGCGUCGUUUAAGAAACUAACCAGUUGCGCAGAGCAGAAUUGAUAAUAGAAGAUAAGAAAACCAGAAUUCCGAGCGUGGACAGCAAUGAAUAUAACCGAAUAUUCUCCAAAGUGUGUAGCAAUAUAUGCGAAAACUCGCACAGAAACAAUAAUAUAAAUCGAUAUCCGGAUCUCGACACUUCAAGAUCACCCAAAUAUCAAGAGUUCCGAGUAGUGACUAUGUCAAGCGUGUAUAAGGAAUUACGCUUUGCCUUGGCUUGUAGUCGGCAAAGCAGAGGAUCAGUGAAGGCUGAAAAUUGCUAUAGUAGUAGUGAAAACCGUGAUCAAAAAGUCCUCCCCUUAGUGCAUAUAAUUAGUCAGUAUUUAUAGUUAUGAAUUACACGUAAAUUCUGCUACUAGAAUGGAAAGAAAUUGUGUAAAAAUAAAGAAAAGAUUUUUUUUUUUCUUUUUAAGAAAGAGUCGUUGAGAAACUAAACAAAAUAACAGUAGUCUGCAAAUUAGAAAAGGAAAGGAAUGUAGAUUUUGAAUUCCGAGGGAAAAAAACGAGAUUAUAGCAACUAGCGAGAAGUUGGGGCUAGGUAUAUAUUCGGAAUAUCAAUUCAAAUUUGAACCAAUAUAGAGCCAUUGAAAAGGUAACAAAUCAAAGCUUUUACCUUAUAAUCUGUCCAAGUUCGUCCAAGAAGAAUCACCAUAAACCCCCAUGAUUUUGCUAUCGAUGCUCCCAAUGGAUAGCAAUAAAGGAGUGUGUUUGACUGACAACAAUUUUAAUCAAAACAAUAGUGACAAUAUCAACUAGGAAAUGAGAAGAAUUAGCAACAUUACGAACUUGAUUAAGGAAAGAAGUAAGAAAUUAAAAGGAAAAAGGAAAAGAUGUAAGAAUAACGAAGGGAAGAAGGAAAGAAAAAAUAUAAGGAAAUAUGUCAAAGAAUUAGAGAAAGAGACAAAAAUGGAGGCAAUGCUAACUUGCCAUCGAC
RNAcentral lists this long non-coding RNA (4928 nucleotides) under Nicotiana tabacum (common tobacco). Its description in RNAcentral is "long non-coding RNA (NTAB_LNC012787)". Lineage: Eukaryota; Viridiplantae; Streptophyta; Magnoliopsida; Solanales; Solanaceae. The record is from RNAcentral.